Molecule: long non-coding RNA, 160 nt
Organism: Sapajus apella (tufted capuchin)
Lineage: Eukaryota; Metazoa; Chordata; Mammalia; Primates; Cebidae
Exons: 2
Source: RefSeq, a predicted model, not a curated record
UAGCAGAGUGUGGUGGCGCAUGCCUGUAAUCCCAGCUACUCAGGAGGGUGAGGCGGGAGAGUCCCUUGAACCCGGAAAGUGGAGGUUGCAGUGAGCCGAGAUCACACCACUGCACUCCAGCCUCGGAGACAGAGUGAGACUCCGUCUCAAAAAAGAAAAA